This 496-nucleotide ribosomal RNA is filed under the name uncultured bacterium. RNAcentral describes it as "partial 16S ribosomal RNA". It matches the Rfam family "Bacterial small subunit ribosomal RNA", at positions 29 to 507 of the family's 1533-position model. The record is from RNAcentral.
AUGAACGCUGGCGGCGUGCCUCAUACAUGCAAGUCGAGCGAACGGACGAGAAGCUUGCUUCUCUGAUGUUAGCGGCGGACGGGUGAGUAACACGUGGAUAACCUACCUAUAAGACUGGGAUAACUUCGGGAAACCGUAGCUAAUACCGGAUAAUAUUUUGAACCGCAUGGUUCAAAAGUGAAAGACGGUCUUGCUGUCACUUAUAGAUGGAUCCGCGCUGCAUUAGCUAGUUGGUAAGGUAACGGCUUACCAAGGCAACGAUGCAUAGCCGACCUGAGAGGGUGAUCGGCCACACUGGAACUGAGACACGGUCCAGACUCCUUCGGGAGGCAGCAGUAGGGAAUCUUCCGCAAUGGGCGAAAGCCUGACGGAGCAACGCCGCGUGAGUGAUGAAGGUCUUCGGAUCGUAAAACUCUGUUAUUAGGGAAGAACAUAUGUGUAAGUAACUGUGCACAUCUUGACGGUACCUAAUCAGAAAGCCACGGCUAACUACGUG